Molecule: RNA transcript, 1351 nt
Organism: Erigeron canadensis
Lineage: Eukaryota; Viridiplantae; Streptophyta; Magnoliopsida; Asterales; Asteraceae
Exons: 5
Source: RefSeq, a predicted model, not a curated record
ACUUUAUUUUAAAACAGAUGUUUCCCAGAUCUCAUCGAUGACAACUCCUAAAUCCUUUUCUUAUUUUCAAUUUCUCCAUCUUAAAGAUAACUCAUAUCCCUAGAUUUUAGGGAUUUAUGGGUUUUCAAAUAAUAGCUAAAUCGACCUUAUAGAGAUCAUAUCAACGCAUGGUUCUUUUCUCUUCUAUCAACGCAAGGUUUUAUUUUUAAUACGCACUAACGACAUCACGAAAUCAACUAUUCCAGAUGAGAUGAAGAAGAAUGAAGCUUACACAAAGAUUAUUUAUGUGAUGAAGAGUACACAUAUUGAUAAUGUGAAGCCUAUAAAGCAUUUGAUUUACUUGAAGGAUGAUUAGUUACCAUUAUAUGAUCGCUCUACACAGGAUUGGAAAGAAUAGGGUUAAGGAGGGGCUCGAGUUCGUUUGCUGAGGCUCAUACUGAAGGGUUCACCGAAGAAAAUAGGACUAUUGGGUGAGAUUUAUCCCACUAUCUCUGGUAGUGACUUGGUUCCUCAGAAGGUGCUCUAUGUGGUAUCGGUGGUAUAGGGAAGACUACAAUGAUGGAAGAACUGAAGUAGGUUGUAACGAAUAGGAACCUGUUUAAUCGGGUUGUAAGGGUGGUUAUCGGGAAUAGUAUUGAUCCAAUUGCAAGCCAAGAAGCUAUUGCAUAGUACGCUGGAGGAAAUCUGUUCCACAAUCAACUAAAGAAGCGAGGGCUAAUCAUCUUAAGGAUAAAUUUUUGGGUAUGUCCGAAGAUGGCAAGAAAAAAGUUUGGACUACAUUGGACGAUCUUUGGAACGUCAUUGACCUCAAAGAUAUUGAACUAGCAAGUCCGUUGCCAAAGGGUUUCAAGUUAUUUCUCACAUCGCGAGAUGAAAGGCUUUGUGGUCAGAUGGGUGUCAAAACCAGCUCAAGCUCGAGAGUGGAUGUUUUAGAAGAACCAGGAGCAAAACAUUAUUUUUGGGAAACUAUAGGACUUUCAGAUGAUGGUGCUGUUGAUAAUCAAGAUUUUCUGAAUAUCAAAAUCUAAGGUUUCUGUCUUGGUAAUUUGCUGCAAGUUGGGGCUUUAAAUUGGAUUUUGUUGUUGCAGCUAGAAUUCGCAAUGUAUUGGAAACAAGUCGAAGCUUCUGAUUUCUGUUUUUGUAGAACAUUGAAUGGUAACCGCAAGUAUCGGCUCCGCCAAUCUGUUAAAAGUAGUUUUGAAAGUAAUUCGAGUCAAAAUUUUCCUAUUUAAUAAAAUUUUAGUACAUCAUUUUGUGAAUAUUUACAAAUCUGAAUUUUUUUUUAUUGUACAAUUUAUAUGAACAUCUAUUAUAUUACCCCGUAUAUAUAAUAUUUAUUCAUUUUUCGUUA